UCGGAAUGAGUACAGUGGCGCACGGGUGAGUAACGCGUAGGUAACAUGCCUUUUAGUGGGGGAUAACACCGGGAAACCAGUGCUAAUACCGCAUAAGCAAGAAAUUGGAAAGGUGGCUUCGGCUAUCGCUGAAAGAUUGGCCUGCGUAGCAUUAGCUAGUUGGUAGGGUAAUGGCCUACCAAGGCUACGAUGCUUAACUGGUCUGAGAGGAUGAUCAGCCACACUGGAACUGAGACACGGUCCAGACUCC
RNAcentral lists this ribosomal RNA (250 nucleotides) under uncultured bacterium. Its description in RNAcentral is "partial 16S ribosomal RNA". It matches the Rfam family "Bacterial small subunit ribosomal RNA", at positions 81 to 339 of the family's 1533-position model. The record is from RNAcentral.